This 2906-nucleotide ribosomal RNA is filed under the name Escherichia coli. RNAcentral describes it as "23S ribosomal RNA". It matches the Rfam family "Bacterial large subunit ribosomal RNA". The record is from RNAcentral. Lineage: Bacteria; Pseudomonadati; Pseudomonadota; Gammaproteobacteria; Enterobacterales; Enterobacteriaceae.
GGUUAAGCGACUAAGCGUACACGGUGGAUGCCCUGGCAGUCAGAGGCGAUGAAGGACGUGCUAAUCUGCGAUAAGCGUCGGUAAGGUGAUAUGAACCGUUAUAACCGGCGAUUUCCGAAUGGGGAAACCCAGUGUGAUUCGUCACACUAUCAUUAACUGAAUCCAUAGGUUAAUGAGGCGAACCGGGGGAACUGAAACAUCUAAGUACCCCGAGGAAAAGAAAUCAACCGAGAUUCCCCCAGUAGCGGCGAGCGAACGGGGAGCAGCCCAGAGCCUGAAUCAGUGUGUGUGUUAGUGGAAGCGUCUGGAAAGGCGCGCGAUACAGGGUGACAGCCCCGUACACAAAAAUGCACAUGCUGUGAGCUCGAUGAGUAGGGCGGGACACGUGGUAUCCUGUCUGAAUAUGGGGGGACCAUCCUCCAAGGCUAAAUACUCCUGACUGACCGAUAGUGAACCAGUACCGUGAGGGAAAGGCGAAAAGAACCCCGGCGAGGGGAGUGAAAAAGAACCUGAAACCGUGUACGUACAAGCAGUGGGAGCACAGAGCAAUCUGUGUGACUGCGUACCUUUUGUAUAAUGGGUCAGCGACUUAUAUUCUGUAGCAAGGUUAACCGAAUAGGGGAGCCGAAGGGAAACCGAGUCUUAACUGGGCGUUAAGUUGCAGGGUAUAGACCCGAAACCCGGUGAUCUAGCCAUGGGCAGGUUGAAGGUUGGGUAACACUAACUGGAGGACCGAACCGACUAAUGUUGAAAAAUUAGCGGAUGACUUGUGGCUGGGGGUGAAAGGCCAAUCAAACCGGGAGAUAGCUGGUUCUCCCCGAAAGCUAUUUAGGUAGCGCCUCGUGAAUUCAUCUCCGGGGGUAGAGCACUGUUUCGGCAAGGGGGUCAUCCCGACUUACCAACCCGAUGCAAACUGCGAAUACCGGAGAAUGUUAUCACGGGAGACACACGGCGGGUGCUAACGUCCGUCGUGAAGAGGGAAACAACCCAGACCGCCAGCUAAGGUCCCAAAGUCAUGGUUAAGUGGGAAACGAUGUGGGAAGGCCCAGACAGCCAGGAUGUUGGCUUAGAAGCAGCCAUCAUUUAAAGAAAGCGUAAUAGCUCACUGGUCGAGUCGGCCUGCGCGGAAGAUGUAACGGGGCUAAACCAUGCACCGAAGCUGCGGCAGCGACGCUUAUGCGUUGUUGGGUAGGGGAGCGUUCUGUAAGCCUGUGAAGGUGUGCUGUGAGGCAUGCUGGAGGUAUCAGAAGUGCGAAUGCUGACAUAAGUAACGAUAAAGCGGGUGAAAAGCCCGCUCGCCGGAAGACCAAGGGUUCCUGUCCAACGUUAAUCGGGGCAGGGUGAGUCGACCCCUAAGGCGAGGCCGAAAGGCGUAGUCGAUGGGAAACAGGUUAAUAUUCCUGUACUUGGUGUUACUGCGAAGGGGGGACGGAGAAGGCUAUGUUGGCCGGGCGACGGUUGUCCCGGUUUAAGCGUGUAGGCUGGUUUUCCAGGCAAAUCCGGAAAAUCAAGGCUGAGGCGUGAUGACGAGGCACUACGGUGCUGAAGCAACAAAUGCCCUGCUUCCAGGAAAAGCCUCUAAGCAUCAGGUAACAUCAAAUCGUACCCCAAACCGACACAGGUGGUCAGGUAGAGAAUACCAAGGCGCUUGAGAGAACUCGGGUGAAGGAACUAGGCAAAAUGGUGCCGUAACUUCGGGAGAAGGCACGCUGAUAUGUAGGUGAAGUCCCUCGCGGAUGGAGCUGAAAUCAGUCGAAGAUACCAGCUGGCUGCAACUGUUUAUUAAAAACACAGCACUGUGCAAACACGAAAGUGGACGUAUACGGUGUGACGCCUGCCCGGUGCCGGAAGGUUAAUUGAUGGGGUCAGCGCAAGCGAAGCUCUUGAUCGAAGCCCCGGUAAACGGCGGCCGUAACUAUAACGGUCCUAAGGUAGCGAAAUUCCUUGUCGGGUAAGUUCCGACCUGCACGAAUGGCGUAAUGAUGGCCAGGCUGUCUCCACCCGAGACUCAGUGAAAUUGAACUCGCUGUGAAGAUGCAGUGUACCCGCGGCAAGACGGAAAGACCCCGUGAACCUUUACUAUAGCUUGACACUGAACAUUGAGCCUUGAUGUGUAGGAUAGGUGGGAGGCUUUGAAGUGUGGACGCCAGUCUGCAUGGAGCCGACCUUGAAAUACCACCCUUUAAUGUUUGAUGUUCUAACGUUGACCCGUAAUCCGGGUUGCGGACAGUGUCUGGUGGGUAGUUUGACUGGGGCGGUCUCCUCCUAAAGAGUAACGGAGGAGCACGAAGGUUGGCUAAUCCUGGUCGGACAUCAGGAGGUUAGUGCAAUGGCAUAAGCCAGCUUGACUGCGAGCGUGACGGCGCGAGCAGGUGCGAAAGCAGGUCAUAGUGAUCCGGUGGUUCUGAAUGGAAGGGCCAUCGCUCAACGGAUAAAAGGUACUCCGGGGAUAACAGGCUGAUACCGCCCAAGAGUUCAUAUCGACGGCGGUGUUUGGCACCUCGAUGUCGGCUCAUCACAUCCUGGGGCUGAAGUAGGUCCCAAGGGUAUGGCUGUUCGCCAUUUAAAGUGGUACGCGAGCUGGGUUUAGAACGUCGUGAGACAGUUCGGUCCCUAUCUGCCGUGGGCGCUGGAGAACUGAGGGGGGCUGCUCCUAGUACGAGAGGACCGGAGUGGACGCAUCACUGGUGUUCGGGUUGUCAUGCCAAUGGCACUGCCCGGUAGCUAAAUGCGGAAGAGAUAAGUGCUGAAAGCAUCUAAGCACGAAACUUGCCCCGAGAUGAGUUCUCCCUGACUCCUUGAGAGUCCUGAAGGAACGUUGAAGACGACGACGUUGAUAGGCCGGGUGUGUAAGCGCAGCGAUGCGUUGAGCUAACCGGUACUAAUGAACCGUGAGGCUUAACCUU